GCGGCGGGGUGUGGGUAAAAGUAUUUGUAUUCGUCGGAAGUGUACGAAUUAUAUAUAGUAAAUGCCAUAAGAACAGGUUCAUUUGUUCCAUUCGAUUCUUUAUAAUUUUGGCAGUUAGCAGCAGCCAAACUUUAAUUUUCAUGGGAACCGCAAGUGCUCUCCCAUACAGCAGAAUUUUUCUUUUUUUUUAUAUAUAUAUAAAGCAGCGGUAGCCUUAGGCCGUUCAUUCAGUUAGAGAGUGUUUUGCCGACUUGUCUUCCCUGCCUGCAAUGAAUUUCCUGAAAAUUAUCUUCGUUAUUAUGUUGGUCGUAUCCGGUGCAAAUGCUGCGUCUUAUUACUUCUGGAGGACAAAGCUGCUUCCAAAUGGGUCGCGUAGUAAAACUAUAUGUGAUAUUAGGGAACUUCAUGAAACACGUGCUCUUGAUUAUGUAAACAUUGGAUGGCAAAUGCAAUCAAGCCGAGUGUGUGGAUUACACUCCUGUUUUUUUUUUAAUAAGUUCCAUCCAGCAGCUUCUGAUUUUUUGUACUGCCAACACCCAGCUCUUUUUGCAGAGUGUGAGACUUAUGGAGUAGACACAACAGUAGAUUGGCCCGAAUGCUGUUGGAAGUGUGUCGAUUUUAAAAAAUGUUAGCUCUGAAGUUUCGAUUAUCAGUUCAUGUUACAAUUAUGUAUGCAAACAUGCGAAAUAAAUACAUUACAUUAUUACUCUGAA
Drosophila pseudoobscura is the source of this 713-nucleotide long non-coding RNA. RefSeq lists it as uncharacterized. The transcript is spliced from 2 exons. The record is from RefSeq and is a predicted model, not a curated record. NCBI's taxonomy places the organism in Eukaryota, Metazoa, Arthropoda, Insecta, Diptera, Drosophilidae.